Physcomitrium patens is the source of this 1657-nucleotide non-coding RNA. The record is from RefSeq and is a predicted model, not a curated record. Lineage: Eukaryota; Viridiplantae; Streptophyta; Bryopsida; Funariales; Funariaceae.
GCGCUCUGAGUUCUCCGCCUGUGUUAUGCCCAUUUGCGAACCCAAAUUGAGUUCUAGGGCAUGUUUUUCGCAUCGAAGUGGCUGCAUGGAUUGGAGUUUCGCAGGUUGGGAAUUGGCGUAUGGGUGUGAUUUAGUCGAGGGUUUUGAAGAAUCAUAGCAGCGAUGGAUCUCUGCCGCUGCCACACCCUUCACUUCUGUGACCUGCAGCUGCACUCAGAUGGUGGAAGCCCUGGUGCCAAGAUGGCCUCCUUUGCAGGGUUGAGGAGAGUGGCGUUCUCGCUAAAGCUUGAGAAGAGCUUGAGGAAUGCCUUGGUAGCUGUGUCGUCCCGAAGGCGUGGCGGUGCCAUGACUGCCAGCAUGGUAGCAACGUCGACUGUGUGAGAUGCUGAUGCUGAUGCUGUGUUCCAGUCUGAGAUCUUCUAAAAGCAGGAGAAUACCCCUGCCAGGCACGAUGAGUACGUAGUGCGGGAAUGGGAGUGACCUGUUCCAUUCGUUGCCUGAGGCUUUCAAGAAGAUUGGUUUCAUUGAAUGGGAAUCUCAAGUAUGUAUCAACUUUUAUGUAGUGAUCAAUUACUGCCGUUCAUUUCUAGGCAGACAAUUACCAAGUAAUCUUCAUAGCCAUGUGCAUUUUGGCUGUGCACAAGUCUUGGAUGAGGAAGGCAAGAAUGAAUUUGAGGCAGCUUAUAGCUCAUCUUUCUACUCCUCUAUGGAUAUACUGAUCGAAUGUUACGAGGAUGUUGCUUCUGGCAACUAUAUCCGUAACUUUGUGUUGUCUGAUCGCUAAUUUUCUGAAAAGGAGGGUCUACCAGCUUUCCCCAUGGAUAAGAUUGAUGGGACCCGCAUGUGGCAAGUUGGUGAGAAAGUGCGCUCUACAUGACCAAAGGGUGACAUGGGCCCACUUCAUCCCUUCAUUGCUGGUGUUUACUGCGCUCUUAUGAUGGCUCAGAUUGUAGUAUUGGGGAAGAAGGGUCACUUGUACUCAGAAGUGGUCAACGUGAGUUUGAUGGGGGCUGUUGACUCUCAUCACCCCUUCAUGCACGCCUGGGGGAGUUGCCUUCAUGGUGGAUAACUGCUCAAUUGCUCGUCUUGGUUCUCACAAAUGGACGCCACGAUUUGACUACAUGUUCACCCAGCAGGCUUUACACUGCAGUAGACAAUGGAGCUCCGGUCAAUAUGGACGUUUAGAGUGAUACAGUGCAGACCCAGUUCAUCACGCCAUUGCAAUCUGUGCAGAAUUGAGGCCCAGUGUCAAUCUCGGUGUUACCGAGGAUGCUAAUUACGUUAGGGCUGAGUUGCGACUACAGAGGGGCAACAUCUGGCUUUAAUGUAGAUAUUCAACUUGCCUACCUAAGUUUUAGAUAAUUUAAAGAGUGAUGCUUCGCGGGGAUUCUCAAUGACGGGAUUUUUUGAGGUUUAUCGGUUGUGUAUUGCGGUGGGUGAGGAAUCUAUAUAGCUCCUUAUAGAUGUACCUUCACAAUUGAAUGAGUACUUAAACGAUCAAGGCUCUGCAGGAGGUCGGCCUUCCAGGCACAAGGUGUGGACAAUCUGGUUAAUACUUUGUAUUGUCCUCGAGCUGGGCAGUGGGAGUUUGAUUCCAGGCUCUGCUCGAUUAAAACGAUACCAAUUGCAACAUCGGAGUUUUAGUGUCAGCAAUCCU